UACGUAGGGUGCAAGCGUUGUCCGGAAUUAUUGGGCGUAAAGAGCUCGUAGGCGGUUCGUCGCGUCGGCUGUGAAAACCCGGAGCUCAACUCCGGGCCUGCAGUCGAUACGGGCGGACUUGAGUUCGGCAGGGGAGACUGGAAUUCCGUGGUGUAGCGGUGAAAUGCGCAGAUAUCAGGAGGAACACCGGUGGCGAAGGCGGGUCUCUGGGCCGAUACUGACGCUGAGGAGCGAAAGCGUGGGGAGCGAACAGG
Molecule: ribosomal RNA, 254 nt
Filed under: uncultured bacterium
Lineage: Bacteria
Description: partial 16S ribosomal RNA
Rfam family: Bacterial small subunit ribosomal RNA
Source: RNAcentral